Molecule: long non-coding RNA, 430 nt
Organism: Oncorhynchus tshawytscha (Chinook salmon)
Lineage: Eukaryota; Metazoa; Chordata; Actinopteri; Salmoniformes; Salmonidae
Source: Ensembl
GUGGUGGUGUGUAGAGUAGUGGUGGUGGUGUGUAGAGUGGUGGUGGUAGUGGUGUGUAGUAGUGGUGGUGUGUAGAGUAGUGGUGGUGUGUAGUGGUGGUGUGUAGUAGUGGUGGUGUGUAGAGUAGUGGUGGUGUGUAGAGUAGUGGUGGUGUGUAGUAGUAGUGGUGGUGUGUAGAGUAGUGGUGGUGUGUAGAGUAGUGGUGGUGUGUAGUAGAGUAGUGGUGGUGUGUAGAGUAGUGGUGGUGUGUAGUAGUGUGGUGGUGUGUAGAGUAGUGGUGGUGGUGUGUAGAGUAGUGGUGGUGUGUAGUAGUGGUGGUGUGUAGAGUAGUGGUGGUGUGUAGUAGUGGUGGUGUGUAGUAGUGGUGGUGUGUAGAGUAGUGGUGGUGUGUAUAAUAGUGGUGGUGUGUAGUAGUGGUGGUGGUGUGUAG